ACCCUUGUAGUUUUGAUGUUCUAACGUUGGCCCCUGCAUCGGGGUUACGGACAGUGCCUGGUGGGUAGUUUGACUGGGGCGGUCUCCUCCCAAAGAGUAACGGAGGAGCACGAAGGUGGGCUAAACACGGUUGGACAUCGUGUGGUUAGUGCAAUGGCAUAAGCCCGCUUGACUGCGAGAAUGACAAUUCGAGCAGGUGCGAAAGCAGGUCAUAGUGAUCCGGUGGUUCUGAAUGGAAGGGCCAUCGCUCAACGGAUAAAAGGUACUCCGGGGAUAACAGGCUGAUACCGCCCAAGAGUUCAUAUCGACGGCGGUGUUUGGCACCUCGAUGUCGGCUCAUCACAUCCUGGGGCUGAAGUCGGUCCCAAGGGUAUGGCUGUUCGCCAUUUAAAGUGGUACGCGAGCUGGGUUUAGAACGUCGUGAGACAGUUCGGUCCCUAUCUGCCGUGGGCGUUGGAAAAUUGAAAGGGGCUGCUCCUAGUACGAGAGGACCGGAGUGGACGAACCUCUGGUGUUCGGGUUGUCAUGCCAAUGGCAUUGCCCGGUAGCUAAGUUCGGAAUCGAUAACCGCUGAAAGCAUCUAAGCGGGAAGCGAGCCUUGAGAUGAGUUUUCCCUGGCGCUAUAAGCGUCCUAAAGGGUUGUCGUAGACUACGACGUUGAUAGGCAGGGUGUGUAAGUGCUGCGAGGCAUUGAGCUAACCUGUACUAAUUGCCCGUGAGGCUUAACCAUACAACACCCAAGGGGUUU
This 748-nucleotide ribosomal RNA is filed under the name Vibrio sp. 10N.286.46.E10. RNAcentral describes it as "bacterial LSU rRNA". It matches the Rfam family "Bacterial large subunit ribosomal RNA", at positions 2202 to 2925 of the family's 2925-position model. Lineage: Bacteria; Pseudomonadati; Pseudomonadota; Gammaproteobacteria; Vibrionales; Vibrionaceae. The record is from RNAcentral.